GGUUGAGUAGUGUAGUGGUCAACAUGGUGGCUUCACAUAAUCAGUGAAUGCGCUACAGCCCCGGGUUCGAUUCCCGGCUCGACUA
This 85-nucleotide transfer RNA is filed under the name Metarhizium acridum. RNAcentral's name for it is "tRNA-Val". It matches the Rfam family "tRNA". Rfam says of the family: Transfer RNA (tRNA) molecules are approximately 80 nucleotides in length. Their secondary structure includes four short double-helical elements and three loops (D, anti-codon, and T loops). Lineage: Eukaryota; Fungi; Ascomycota; Sordariomycetes; Hypocreales; Clavicipitaceae. RNAcentral also lists the same sequence under 1 other name. The record is from RNAcentral.